This 315-nucleotide ribosomal RNA is filed under the name uncultured eukaryote. Its description in RNAcentral is "partial 18S ribosomal RNA". It matches the Rfam family "Eukaryotic small subunit ribosomal RNA", at positions 1470 to 1796 of the family's 1831-position model. The record is from RNAcentral.
CCCUUAGAUGUUCUGGGCUGCACGCGCGCUACACUGACGCACGCAACAGGUGCCUGCUCCGAGAGGACUGGGUAAUCAUUUGAGUGUGCGUCGUGAUGGGGAUAGAAUAUUGUAAUUAUUACUCUUCAACGAGGAAUUCCUAGUAAGCGCCAGUCAGCAGCUUGCGCUGAUUACGUCUCUGCCCUUUGUACACACCGCCCGUCGCUCCUACCGAUGGGUGAUCCGGUGAAUGAUUCGGACUUCAGCGGCUCCCCUGGGGUGCGCCGGAGAAAGUUUUGUGAACCUUAUCACUUGGAGGAAGGAGAAGUCGUAACA